RNAcentral lists this long non-coding RNA (1401 nucleotides) under Homo sapiens (human). RNAcentral describes it as "HSALNT0355992". Lineage: Eukaryota; Metazoa; Chordata; Mammalia; Primates; Hominidae. The record is from RNAcentral.
GUAAAAGUCACCAUUUGUCCCUUCUGUAAAGUUUUAAAUUGGUUUAAUAAUAAUAUAAGAGCUUAAAUCAAAUAUUUUGUCAGAAAAGUGAAAAAUGUAAUGCUUUUUAUUUAGUUCAUGUGACUUGAGUAAUCUUUAGGAAAUAAACAGUUUUAAAGAUUAUUGGUAAAAUACAGUUGUCUUGAAAAUGUAAACAUGUGGUCUAAGUUAUGUUCAAAUAUUAGGUUUGCUAAAUGCUUUAAGGUCAUAAACUGCUUCUUUGGUGUUUGAAAUUUGUUUAACUUGCCUGCUUUCCAGCUAGGUAAGGCCUGAGGACAGCCCACUCGGGAUGGCCCUGGGGGCUUCUGAGAUGAAAGAGGCCUUCUUGGGAGGCUCCCAGCAUUCCCUGUGCUCUUGCCUCUUCUCCCCUCUGCCUGCCUGAAGAUCCCCCUGAGUCCCUGCCACCCCCUCUCCAUGGGGAGUUGGCCAUGCCCCUAACUAUGCUGGAAACAUUCUAAUCUUAUCAGAACACAACUUAGCAGGUUUUACAUUACAAUUAAGAUUGCUAGGAGUCACCAUUAACAUGUAAUUAAGAUUACUAGAAACAGUUUUAUAUGCAAGAUGUGUAAGAAUAGUAAAAUGUGUUUUUUUUUUUUUUUUGGUAAAAGGUUAUAAAGGGUUUUUGCUUAAAAUUUCUGAGUCAUCAUUUUGGCAAAAUAAGUAAUUUAGGGCAAUCUGGAAUUCCAAAAUCAAACUUCAGUUUCAAAAUUGUCUUUUCUAAUGCCUGGCUUUUUGGAUGGAUCAGAUGGCCCCUGAAAACAUCCAGAAAAGAGUUAUAAUAGAGUUGGAUGAACAGAAAAGUAUCUAUGCUGCAGCUGGCACUUAUGACCUACGGAAAAAUACAUUAAAUGAAGAUUAUGGAAAUUCAGUGAAGGAGAUGAGACUGCUAAGUUAAAGACCAUCUAGCUUCAGAUGAUCAUGCAACAAAGGCUCCAGCCAAUUCCAGGUAAAGACACCACCCCUGGCCAUCAAGGAGAUACCCUGCCUCCACUAGAGAGAGCAGAGUGAGAGUUCUGUGAUCCUCAAUAGGUAGAAACUACACCCCAAGCCAGCAUGAAGCAGCUACAGAAGAAAGACCAGCUGUCCCUCUGCCUCCCAUAAAGAUUUAUGAAGAUCACAUCUCUCAGUGGGGAAAUGAGUCAAGAAAAUAAUGUCUGGAGGCAGGGAACAUAAGGCCAAUUAACACUUCAGCUAUGACAGGAAAUAUCCUUUCCAUAGGGUGUACACUAAGUGACUUCGUAACCUUACUUUGUCCUCUUCAUUUACAUAGGGCAUACAGCAAGUAACCAAUGGAAACUGCUAGAGUGUAUUUAAACUCCCACAAAUUCUGUAAUGGGGCCCUAUGCUCAUGCCCAUUACCAC